RNAcentral lists this long non-coding RNA (2429 nucleotides) under Olea europaea (common olive). RNAcentral's name for it is "long non-coding RNA (OEUR_LNC002471)". The record is from RNAcentral. Lineage: Eukaryota; Viridiplantae; Streptophyta; Magnoliopsida; Lamiales; Oleaceae.
UUGGCUUGAUUCUUGUUCCACAAAUGAAACCUCUUUCAGUUACGCAAACGACACAGUUUCAGAGGAUGAUCAAGAUAUGCUAUAGAAAAUCAGCUUUACUUCUUCACAUGAAUGGUGAUUUAUUAUUUUAUUCUCAGGUUCUACCUUCUUAUGAUAAAUGCACAUUUAUAAAAUGAUUAGAAAAAUAUAUCAGCCUACACGAUCUCACUCUUAUAAACUAUUGCAGCAAAAGGAAACACUUCAGAGAGUGAAAGUUCAUAAAGCUCCCUCGCCAUUCAUAGACAAUGAGAAUAAAAUGAAAAGAAAAAUAAAAAAUAUCUGAGAAAUGUCCAAUGCCAGAGUCACCGAGGCAGUUCAAGGUCCGGUCUUCGAUCGAGGGCUUCUACAGUAGAAUCAUCUGGAAAAGCAUCUGGAUAGGUCGCUAAGAUCUUUGCCUUCAUGCUCCUAGCAAUUCAUAACAAACAUCAUAUUUUUAUUGCCCGUAAUAAUCUCCAAAAUGAAUCUUUAGCUAGAGAUCUGAUGACAAAUAAGUUCAGUAAAAGAUGAAAUUUGUUUACCAGAAGUAUGAUAAUACAGCUAGAGACAAGAAUUUACAGGUAAAGGACAUCAGAAAGGAGAUCCUACCCACCACAUAAAACAGCUUCUAUAAGAUGACCGUUUCACUUAUUAAUUAAUGUUCUCUUACUCAUAUUUCAGUCAAAUAAAAUUGGUUUGAUGCCGAAGUCGAAUUAUUUUCUUUCUUUCUUUCUAGCAUAAGACAUAAAGUUAGAAUGUUCUACCCAUUUAGUUGAGACCUCACAAGUCACAUUUCAUACUUGCAUUUGUCAUUAGAAAGUCAUGGAUCCCUUGUCAAUCAAGACUGUCGGACAUAUUUGCCUUUAAACUGAAAGAGGAAAAAAAAAAAACGAGAAAUCCAAAGGAAUUCGAGUUUGCUCGGUUUGCAAGAAAAAUAUUUAUUGGGGAUUAGCAAAUCAUACAGUAGCUCUAGGAGGGCUCAAGAGCUAAGUUUACUUCGUUUGCAAGAAGAAAAAGAAAAAUUAUUGGGGAUAAGCAAAGCAUAAAAGUAAUCUGGAGGGACUUAGGGCUGGGGAGGACUAGUAAACUCCAGUUGCAGAGGCAGCACGACAUGGACCUUUGAUUUCAAGCAGAUAGUGGUUUACUAAAUGAGACUGGAACUCAAGAAGUGCUAGAUUCAAAGAAUCUAGAGGAACAACUUAGCCUUACGUUCUAAUUCAAUUCUGUUGUAGCUAACAUCAUCCAUCUAACCUUGGAAGAAGGUUCACAAACUUCUAGUUCAGCAUUAAAGGGGCUAAAGGGAUUUUAAUCCUAUUCUUGGACGUAGCAAACCACUCCCUCAAAAGUUGCCUAAGCCGCCUAAUGGCCAGAGAACUAUUGAAAUUGCCACUUAAGAUGUCAACUGAAGUCUCUUUCAGAAUAGGAAAGUGGCAUUCAUCCUAGGUAAUAUUACUGUCAGAACUAUAUUUGCAUACACAGCCCAUUCACCAAACCCUGGAAAUUGUCCAACCAAUAAGAACUAAAAGCCUAUCUCCAAGGCAAGUGGUUCAAAGGCUCAUCAGAUCAACCGACAAACUAAGACUGCCACAGACCAAACCAACUACUAUAAAUAUAGGGCACUAACGACCUCCAGUGAGACAAAUCUGCUUCCAUCAAGCCAAAACUCUGCUAAUGACCUUAGACAUCCUGAUUUUUAAGUACUCUAAAGAACCUUAGAGGAUGCAUUAGUGUGUUUGUUCAAUGUUACUGAUAGCAUUUUAAUUAAAACUUGCAACUUUAAGAUAUUUAGCCAUUAAAUUAUAUUGCUCAAAUCCGCUAAAAAUUUAAAGCUUCCUCCAGUCAUUUUGCCCAAACUUUUUUUAACAUGUAAUCUGCAGAACAAUUUUACAGAAACUAUAUUGUCCCGAUCAUAUCUUGUGUGUUUGAACCAACACAAGUAAGGCCAAUACAAAUUUAUGUUAUAGAGAAACUAAAAUUUACCAAAUUCUUGAUGAUUGAAUUCCAUGAUAUUAGAACCAAUACGUAUUUUGUAUAUCGUUAUGAAGUUAGUUAGCUAGUUAGGUAGUUAGUUUUACCAGCCAGAAUUUUUAGUUAUGACAGCUGGAUUUUUCUUUCUCAUUUAGCGCCUAUUUAUACUUUACUUGUACAUCCAUUUUCGUGACUUUUGAUCAAUAACAGAUUCCGAUUUUCACUUCAAUUCAGUUCUAGUAUGGUACCAAAGCAUAUUCCUUCCAACUCUCACUUCCUUCUUCGAUUCAUCUUGCAGUGAUUUCUUUCUGAGUCUGAUGGAAUCACAAUCUGAUAACAAUUCUGAUUCAAGGUCAUAUAUGAGCAAGUCCGCCAUUGAUGAACCUUCUAGUCUUUACUUCUCCACCAUUCCGAUAGUCCUGGAUUCAUGCUUGUGUCUCAGCAGC